CAUCGAACACCACCACAGAAUUUUAAAGUAACAUUUACUACAGUUCUUGAGAGACUCCAAUGGAGUUUUAGAAUAUUUAUCCAAAUAACAUUCCCUCCAUAAACCUUACAUAAGAUGAGGAAAGGUGUGUCGUUUCAUGUACCCUCACCAUCUUAUUCUGUUCAUGUUAAGAGAUCCUACUGGCACCUUGACCACCCAACACUCCAAAACCAAGGACUGUCUCCCUGUCUUCUUAUAGAAGAAACAGAAGGCCCGAGCUACCAAAGGGGGUCCUGCAAGGAAGAAGUAAACUCCAUCGGAGAAAUUCUAGUGCAAUGACAAAAACACUACAGAAAUAAUCCUACUCAAUGUGACUCACAUAGUGAUGCUCUUUGCCUGUUGCUUCCUCGUGGAAAGGAUCUCUAAGAUACAAUAAACCCAAGGAAUAGGCCCUAACCCCAAUUAAAAGCAAGCUCAAGAAAUACUACCACGAAGGCAUGUAGUGCUAGAACACCCAACAACUUCUCACGUACUUUGGCAACUACCAUUUCUGCAAAUUAUUUGCAAAAAAAAUAGCUGCGAAGGCACAUCAAAGUUGUUAGGAGCUCUAAUACUACAUUCAUAUUUUUCAGCCAGCUCUCCAGCAAGGCUAGGAACAAUUACCUGGGUUUACUGU
This is a long non-coding RNA of Populus euphratica (Euphrates poplar), 655 nucleotides long. RefSeq lists it as uncharacterized. The record is from RefSeq and is a predicted model, not a curated record. The transcript has 2 exons. Lineage: Eukaryota; Viridiplantae; Streptophyta; Magnoliopsida; Malpighiales; Salicaceae.